This 465-nucleotide ribosomal RNA is filed under the name uncultured bacterium. Its description in RNAcentral is "partial 16S ribosomal RNA". It matches the Rfam family "Bacterial small subunit ribosomal RNA", at positions 28 to 507 of the family's 1533-position model. The record is from RNAcentral.
GACGAACGCUGGCGGCGUGCUUAACACAUGCAAGUCGAGCGAGGCCCCUCCUUCGGGAGGGUGUCCUAGCGGCGAACGGGUGAGUAACACGUGGGCAACCUGCCCUCAGCUCUGGGAUAACUCCGGGAAACCGGGGCUAAUACCGGAUACGACCUCCACGGGCAUCUGCGGAGGUCGAAAGUUUUUCGGCUGAGGAUGGGCCCGCGGCCUAUCAGCUAGUUGGUGGGGUAGUGGCCCACCAAGGCGACGACGGGUAGCCGGCCUGAGAGGGCGACCGGCCACACUGGGACUGAGACACGGCCCAGACUCCUACGGGAGGCAGCAGUGGGGAAUAUUGCGCAAUGGGCGAAAGCCUGACGCAGCGACGCCGCGUGAGGGACGAAGGCCUUCGGGUUGUAAACCUCUUUCAGCAGGGACGAAGCGAAAGUGACGGUACCUGCAGAAGAAGCACCGGCCAACUACGUG